GAUGAACGCUGGCGGCGUGCCUAAUACAUGCAAGUCGAGCGAACAGACGAGGAGCUUGCUCCUCUGACGUUAGCGGCGGACGGGUGAGUAACACGUGGAUAACCUACCUAUAAGACUGGGAUAACUUCGGGAAACCGGAGCUAAUACCGGAUAAUAUAUUGAACCGCAUGGUUCAAUAGUGAAAGACGGUUUUGCUGUCACUUAUAGAUGGAUCCGCGCCGCAUUAGCUAGUUGGUAAGGUAACGGCUUACCAAGGCAACGAUGCGUAGCCGACCUGAGAGGGGGGUCGGCCCAACUGGAACUGAGACACGGUCCAGACCCCUACGGGAGGCAGCAGUAGGGAAUCUUCCGCAAUGGGCGAAAGCCUGACGGAGCAACGCCGCGUGAGUGAUGAAGGUCUUCGGAUCGUAAAACUCUGUUAUUAGGGAAGAACAAAUGUGUAAGUAACUAUGCACGUCUUGACGGUACCUAAUCAGAAAGCCACGGCUAACUACGUG
This 497-nucleotide ribosomal RNA is filed under the name uncultured bacterium. RNAcentral describes it as "partial 16S ribosomal RNA". It matches the Rfam family "Bacterial small subunit ribosomal RNA", at positions 28 to 507 of the family's 1533-position model. The record is from RNAcentral.